This is a long non-coding RNA of Haliotis rubra (blacklip abalone), 205 nucleotides long. RefSeq lists it as uncharacterized. The record is from RefSeq and is a predicted model, not a curated record. Lineage: Eukaryota; Metazoa; Mollusca; Gastropoda; Lepetellida; Haliotidae. The transcript has 3 exons.
UCAGCAAAGUACCAUCUAAAUAACGGGGUCCGUAAAUAACCGAGUCUUGGCCGGCAGACAAUCAAUUGACUUAUAUCAUGAACAUCGAUCAUUGCGGUUUGGAUUCAUCAAUAUACAUCAGCCAAGUCCAGUACACACUGUCCAAAAUAAAGUGAAUGUCAUCAGCAAAGUUAGUGAGUGAGUGAGUGAGUGAGUUUAGUUUUAC